This 466-nucleotide ribosomal RNA is filed under the name uncultured bacterium. Its description in RNAcentral is "partial 16S ribosomal RNA". It matches the Rfam family "Bacterial small subunit ribosomal RNA", at positions 28 to 505 of the family's 1533-position model. The record is from RNAcentral.
GACGAACGCUGGCGGCGUGCUUAACACAUGCAAGUCGAACGGAAAGGCCCUGCUUUUGUGGGGUGCUCGAGUGGCGAACGGGUGAGUAACACGUGAGUAACCUGCCCUUGACUUUGGGAUAACUUCAGGAAACUGGGGCUAAUACCGGAUAGGAGCUCCUGCUGCAUGGUGGGGGUUGGAAAGUUUCGGCGGUUGGGGAUGGACUCGCGGCUUAUCAGCUUGUUGGUGGGGUAGUGGCUUACCAAGGCUUUGACGGGUAGCCGGCCUGAGAGGGUGACCGGCCACAUUGGGACUGAGAUACGGCACAGACUCCUACGGGAGGCAGCAGUGGGGAAUAUUGCACAAUGGGCGGAAGCCUGAUGCAGCAACGCCGCGUGCGGGAUGACGGCCUUCGGGUUGUAAACCGCUUUCGCCUGUGACGAAGCGUGAGUGACGGUAAUGGGUAAAGAAGCACCGGCUAACUACG